This 331-nucleotide long non-coding RNA is filed under the name Setaria viridis. RNAcentral's name for it is "long non-coding RNA (SVIR_LNC001781)". Lineage: Eukaryota; Viridiplantae; Streptophyta; Magnoliopsida; Poales; Poaceae. The record is from RNAcentral.
AAACGUGGAGUUUCAAAGUACCUAAUUGUAAGUCAUUCCAAGAAUAUUGGAGAGUCAAGUAUCUCAACUUUAUGGUGUCAACUUAGUUUCUUUAGAUUGUUCAUCUCUAUUCCAUGCUAAUCGAAAGGGGAGCUUAUUGUGUGUCACGUGAAUAUAUACAUGUACAGAUGAAGCAAUGUGCAUAGUGAUUUCAAUAUUGAACACAUUGCUCAAAUGUUCCAAUUAAACACGCAUGAAACAUAACGUGUCGAUAUAUACCAAAACACCUCCUCCUCCUCCCCAGCCAAAUUUUUCCCGCUUGCCCUGCCCAAAUUUCCCCCCUAGCCCCGCC